AUGCUAAUGCCCGGCACAAGAUCGGGUCUCGUCACUGCCGCCAGCGACGAUAUCGGGCUCCUGCUGCUCAGGGAGUACCAACCACCAUUGCUUGAUGAAAGGAGUAUUGUACAGGGGGUUCUUCGUGCCGCACAAUUUCCUAUGCUAUACCAGGGGCGCAUAGGAUCUCUGAUUCCCAAUGCCUGCAAACUCGUGGAGGAACUGAUGGAGCUGGGCAACGAGGAAGAGAGGUGGAAAGUAAUCGAGGGCGUGUGGGUGUGGGUGGAGAAGCUCCGCUAUUCCGCCAGCAGAUGCAGAGGCUACCUGCACGCCAGGAGCUUGGGUGAAGGCGGUGAGUACCUGUCCUACGUCUGGUUCCUCUUGUCAUUCAUGGGGAUGGAGACCUUGGCGGACAGGCAUCAGAGGUCAGAGCCUCCUCGAGAAGAAGCAGCAGUGGCGGGCGAAUCGACUUCCCAAUCCCAUGGUAGAGCCACAGCCAACCAGUAUGCCGUAGUCUGGGAGUGA
RNAcentral lists this ribosomal RNA (504 nucleotides) under Triticum aestivum (bread wheat). Its description in RNAcentral is "partial small subunit ribosomal RNA". Lineage: Eukaryota; Viridiplantae; Streptophyta; Magnoliopsida; Poales; Poaceae. The record is from RNAcentral.